RNAcentral lists this ribosomal RNA (253 nucleotides) under uncultured bacterium. RNAcentral's name for it is "partial 16S ribosomal RNA". It matches the Rfam family "Bacterial small subunit ribosomal RNA", at positions 524 to 776 of the family's 1533-position model. The record is from RNAcentral.
UACGAAGGGGACUAGCGUUGUUCGGAAUCACUGGGCGUAAAGCGCACGUAGGCGGAUUCGUAAGUCAGGGGUGAAAUCCCGGGGCUCAACCUCGGAACUGCCUUUGAUACUGCGGGUCAUGAGUCCGAUAGAGGUGGGUGGAAUUCCUAGUGUAGAGGUGAAAUUCGUAGAUAUUGGGAAGAACACCGGUGGCGAAGGCGGCGACCUGGUCCGUGACUGACGCUGAGGCGCGAAAGCGUGGGGAGCAAACAGG